GACGAACGCUGGCGGCGUGCUUAACACAUGCAAGUUGAACGGGGCAUAUUUGAAGGGUAACCGGAGGGUAUGUCUAGUGGCGAACGGGUGAGUAAUGCAUGAGAACGUAUCCUCAAGAGGGGGACAACAUUGGGAAACCGAUGCUAAUACCCCAUAAGCCGGGAGGUAAAAGGAGCAAUCCGCUUGAGGAGCGGUUCAUGUCCUAUCAGCUAGUUGGUGAGGUAACGGCUCACCAAGGCGAAGACGGGUAGCCGGCCUGAGAGGGUGAACGGCCACACUGGAACUGAGAGACGGUCCAGACUCCUACGGGAGGCAGCAGUGGGGAAUAUUGGGCAAUGGGGGAAACCCUGACCCAGCGACGCCGCGUGAGGGAAGAAGGCCUUAGGGUCGUAACCUCUGUUGUGUGGAGAAGAGCGUGACGGUACCACACGAGGAAGUCCCGGCUAACUACGUGCCAGCAGCCGCGGUAAAAGUCGACGUCG
This 482-nucleotide ribosomal RNA is filed under the name uncultured bacterium. Its description in RNAcentral is "bacterial SSU rRNA". It matches the Rfam family "Bacterial small subunit ribosomal RNA", at positions 28 to 536 of the family's 1533-position model. The record is from RNAcentral.